GGGAAGUUCUUAUAAUCUUUGUGGUAUUUUGUAUUAUUUCUGUUGAACUUUCUAGAAUAUAUUUGAUGUGGCAUAAAUUUAUAGGUUGUUACCGGAUGAUAGUGCACUAGUUAUUUUUAAUGAGGGUUACAAAAUCUAGGAAGUUUUUAGAAUGCUAAAUCCACAACAUUUUUUUUAAAUUUUUUUUAUUUUAGUUCUUAAGAAUGAUGUUAUUUAGUGUAAUCUAACACAAGGGAGAUUUUGUUUUUAAAUCAACUUUUUGUUCUCUGCAUGCAGAUCCAAUUAGUUAGUUUAUGG
Molecule: unclassified non-coding RNA, 297 nt
Filed under: Hevea brasiliensis (rubber tree)
Lineage: Eukaryota; Viridiplantae; Streptophyta; Magnoliopsida; Malpighiales; Euphorbiaceae
Source: RNAcentral